ACGGGUGAGUAAUAUAUCGGAACGUGCCCAGUAGUGGGGGAUAGCCCGGCGAAAGCCGGAUUAAUACCGCAUACGACCUAUGGGUGAAAGCGGGGGAUCGCAAGACCUCGCGCUAUUGGAGCGGCCGAUAUCAGAUUAGCUAGUUGGUGGGGUAAAGGCCUACCAAGGCGACGAUCUGUAGCUGGUCUGAGAGGACGACCAGCCACACUGGGACUGAGACACGGCCCAGACUCCUACGGGAGGCAGCAGUGGGGAAUUUUGGACAAUGGGCGCAAGCCUGUUCCAGCCAUGCCGCGUGCGGGAAGAAGGCCUUCGGGUUGUAAACCGCUUUUGUCAGGGAAGAAACGGUCUGACCUAAUACGUUGGACUAAUGACGGUACCUGAAGAAUAAGCACCGGCUAACUACGUGCCAGCAGCCGCGGUAAUACGUAGGGUGCAAGCGUUAAUCGGAAUUACUGGGCGUAAAGCGUGCGCAGGCGGCUUUGCAAGACAGAUGUGAAAUCCCCGGGCUCAACCUGGGAACUGCAUUUGUGACUGCAAGGCUGGAGUACGGUAGAGGGGGAUGGAAUUCCGCGUGUAGCAGUGAA
RNAcentral lists this ribosomal RNA (587 nucleotides) under uncultured bacterium. RNAcentral's name for it is "bacterial SSU rRNA". It matches the Rfam family "Bacterial small subunit ribosomal RNA", at positions 102 to 685 of the family's 1533-position model. The record is from RNAcentral.